CCUUCCGUGGGUGAGCUAUUUGAGCCAACAUCUAUUGUUGCGUCGGCCUUCUGCCGUUUGUUAAUUUUGGCCUGAGGGCUUUAACUUUUAAGAUUUUGGUAUGUACCAAAUUAGGGUAGAGCGCUUAUUUUUCUCGUUUUAAGAUCUUUUGUGAGUCUCUGUUUCCUAACUCCUUUCCCGCCUCUUUCAAAUUUGCUCUAGUGAUCAACGCCACCUAUGAUCCGGAGUUGGUAUUAAUUUCACGUGGUGACCUUUGUGUUGUCCUGUUUUCCCCCAGAGACGGUGGCGCCUUGUACUUCAUCGAUCGUUCUCGCCGAAUAUCGAUCACAAAAAUGGUCGUAGCGUUUUGGCGUCGUUGUUAAGGUUUCUUGUGUUCUUCGUCGUCGCUUUUGAGUAACAACUGCCGUUUGGUAGAUAAGUUAUGUUUUUAUAUGGGGUUUCAUUAACAUCAACGUUCUUUAGACGUUCUUAGCCUCUCAAUAUAGAGGUUAUAAGUCGCAAAAAUACAAAAACCAAUAAGUCAAACAGGUGGCCAGACAGUAAACGGCCCAAAAAACCGCCGCAAAACCAAAAAUCCAGCACGAUGGCAUAGGAACAAUCAAAUUCGAGAACAAAACCACAACACCAAGAACAACAGGUGACAUUCAUGACAAUUAACAGCCGAGAGCCAUACUAACCCAACAGAAGCGGAAAAAAGGCAAUUCCCCAACCACAAGGCGGGAAACUUGAAUACCAACCAAGGUCAAAACCAAACCUCCCCGAAAGACGAAUCGUCGAGAGGUGGGGGACGAGCAACAUGUAACUUAACCAAAUUGCAAUAAAUGUCGCUAACAUUUUGCACAUCAGUGCGAAAAUUUACAGAAUUAGGCUCACUCAGGAUGUGGAACAUCUUAAGAAAACGCCGUUUAUAGUAUGAGGGUUUAAAACAUACUAUGGAGGAGUUGUCGAAAUCGAAGUCUCUACGGUGUUGGUCGAGUCUCCUCUUAAGAUAUUGGCUGGUCAUACCCACGUAGGAGCCGGAACAACCCUGACAGUUGAUCUUACACAUCAAGUUGGUUUUCAGACCAUCGGGUCGAUCUUUCAAGCUGGUAAAAAUGCCACGUAGAGGUUUGGUGGUAUAUUUAGCGAACUGUAAAGUUCCGUCAUUGAAAACCUUCACCAGAUUAUCGAACAAAUUUUAGUGUUAUUUAACCCUUUCGCGACUUUUAACUUAGUGGUGCAUAUGUGUACCAGGAGUCGCGAAAGGGUUAAGACAGAAAAAGACAUAAAUAAAAAUUGAAACUAAUUGAACAUAGUCACACACGUUCAUAUAAACCCAUUCAUAGUUAACUUAUUGCGGCUGAACCAAUUUUCCACAAUUCACACAUUAGUACACGUUUUAUGGAUCAUUUCAUUAAGUGUUGAACUAGUAAUUACAAGGCUGGUGUCAUCAGCAUAAUUCGUUUUGUGACAAUUCAGGCCGAAGAGUAGAAGGUCAUUUAUAAAGAUAACGAACAAAAGCGGUCCCAGUAUACUACCCUGUGAGAUACCGUAGAGUGUAGUUUUAUUAGUAGAAAUUACAGUCUUACUUUUUAAGCUUAUGACUUUAGUAGAGUGUGACCUAGUAUUUAAAUAAAAUGUUAUAAUAUCGUU
Molecule: long non-coding RNA, 1632 nt
Filed under: Onthophagus taurus
Lineage: Eukaryota; Metazoa; Arthropoda; Insecta; Coleoptera; Scarabaeidae
Description: uncharacterized LOC111419555, transcript variant X2
Source: RNAcentral